AGGUCUGAUGAAGCAGAGAUGAGAUUCACAGAAGACAGCUGCUGCUUUGCCCUCUGACCGAGGUCCUGUGCAUUCAUUGCUGCUCUGCUUACAGAAUUAUUAUCAUGGUGAAAGGAAGGAGUGCUUUCCAAAGUGUGAAGAAGAAAUCUGCAAGUCCUCACCACGGAGCCUUGAAAAGGAGGUCACAGAAAUAUCUGGAGCAAAGGACUUCCUCUCACUUGUCUCACCUAAUAGCAAUCUUAGAAUAAAGGUUUCUCACUCCUAGGCCAA
This is a long non-coding RNA of Gorilla gorilla gorilla (western lowland gorilla), 270 nucleotides long. RefSeq lists it as uncharacterized. NCBI's taxonomy places the organism in Eukaryota, Metazoa, Chordata, Mammalia, Primates, Hominidae. The record is from RefSeq and is a predicted model, not a curated record. The transcript has 2 exons.